Long non-coding RNA from Mesoplodon densirostris (Blainville's beaked whale), 400 nucleotides. RefSeq lists it as uncharacterized. The record is from RefSeq and is a predicted model, not a curated record. Lineage: Eukaryota; Metazoa; Chordata; Mammalia; Artiodactyla; Ziphiidae. The transcript is spliced from 3 exons.
CGGUGCCCUGCACCCAGCCAUGUGGCUGGCUCCCCGCGCGCAGGUGGACCGAAAGAGAUGCAGAUGCAACGCGACCCCAUUACCCAGUCUUUGCCUGUGCUGUUCUCUGUGCCUUUCUUCCUGUCCUUGAGGACAGCUGAAGUCUCACCACAUCUCCUGGAUGUUCUGGCCUUCAGCAAGGAGAGAGAUAGACAAAGAGAUACGGAGACACACAGGGAAGGAGGCCACGUGAUGACGGAGGCAGAGCUUGGAGUGAUGCAGCUACAAGCCAAGGAGCACCAAGGAUUGCCUGCAACUACCAGAAGCUGGGAGAGAGACGUGGAACAGACUCUUCCUAGAGCCUCCAGAAGGAACCAGCCCUGCCGACACCUUGAUUUUGGACUCUGGCCUCCUUAAUUAU